GUCCACACCGUAAACGCUGUCUACUAGCUGUGUGUGCCUUUAAGGCGUGCGUAGCGAAGCUAACGCGCUAAGUAGACCGCCUGGGGAGUACGGCCGCAAGGUUAAAACUCAAAUGAAUUGACGGGGGCCCGCACAAGCGGUGGAGCAUGUGGUUUAAUUCGAUGCAACGCGAAGAACCUUACCAUCCCUUGACAUCCAGAGAAUUUUCUAGAGAUAGAUUAGUGCCUUCGGGAACUCUGAGACAGGUGCUGCAUGGCU
This 258-nucleotide ribosomal RNA is filed under the name uncultured bacterium. RNAcentral describes it as "partial 16S ribosomal RNA". It matches the Rfam family "Bacterial small subunit ribosomal RNA", at positions 793 to 1050 of the family's 1533-position model. The record is from RNAcentral.